Non-coding RNA from Podarcis lilfordi (Lilford's wall lizard), 74 nucleotides. NCBI's taxonomy places the organism in Eukaryota, Metazoa, Chordata, Lepidosauria, Squamata, Lacertidae. The record is from the annotation of a GenBank genome assembly.
GUCUGGGAUAGCUCACCUGGUAGAGCAUGAGACUCUUAAUCUCUGGGUCAUAGGUUCAAGCCCCACAUUGGGCA